GUGAUCAAGAUGGAGAAGCAGGGCACGUGCAUUACUAACUCAUGCACAGGAAUUGUCAGUGAAAAUUUUUAUGGCAUUCAUCUGACAUCAUAAUUCAUAGUACCAUUACUGUACUUCCUAGCGUAGUGGAAAAUAAUGGUUUGGUACUUCACAUGUAUGUGUUUCCGUUUCCGUUGAGUUAGUUCUUCAUGUGCCUGUCUUCCCCAUCAUGAUCACUC
This 218-nucleotide microRNA precursor is filed under the name Nicotiana tabacum (common tobacco). RNAcentral's name for it is "miR164a stem-loop (nta-MIR164a, nta-MIR164b)". Its record names the gene nta-MIR164a. It matches the Rfam family "MIR164 microRNA precursor family". The record is from miRBase by way of RNAcentral. Lineage: Eukaryota; Viridiplantae; Streptophyta; Magnoliopsida; Solanales; Solanaceae.